AAAAAAACUUGUUUUAAGGAAAAGUUUUCAGCAAUUUUUCAAAAUUGCCUCAUGCAAGCAAUACACACCAUCUCCCUUCCCACAAAUCGUGAUGUCAUUUUCGACCAAUAGCGUGUCCUGGCUAUUCUGAAAUUUAAUCGCACGUUUAAUUUGCGCCCUAUCUUAACCACAUGCUCCUUAAUUUAGAGCUUAAUUUUGUUUUAAUAGGAAUUUUUGAGAUGUGUUCCACCCUUGUUAGAUACAAACUUGUUUGCAUGCAAUCGCUUGUGAGAACUAAACAAUAAUAUUUGCUUACUUUUUCUGGGUUAGACUAAAAAUCCCAAUUGAAAUUGCAAGCAUUCUCUUUAAAUAGAAUUAAAUUAAUUUUGUUCGGUAUAUUAUGAACUGAUAACAUAUCUAUAAGACUGCUUUAAAACUCUACUACGCUUUUUAGUUUGUCUCAGAAAGAUAUUUUUGAGCAAUUAUAUAGUUUUUUUGCAAAUUCAAGAAUGGACCCAUCUUCACUAUGCUGCUUCUUACAGUAAUUCACCUUUAAUGAAAUUUUUUGCUGGAAAAAGAUGAUCAACUUGCCUGGGAGAGGAUGAAGAAUACUCUGAAUACCUCUACAGGGCUAGAAUAACCUGACUUGUCAUGCUGAACAGUUUCCCUUUCUCCGCCAAACUGUCUCAACGUCAAAAGGAUGGUAAACGUCCAGUGUCUUCUAGAAUAUGAGAUUUAGAACCCUCACAAGACUCCGCCUUCCCUGCCCUGCCCCCAGAACUG
Non-coding RNA from Parasteatoda tepidariorum (common house spider), 762 nucleotides. The record is from RefSeq and is a predicted model, not a curated record. Lineage: Eukaryota; Metazoa; Arthropoda; Arachnida; Araneae; Theridiidae.